CACUGAUUCCUCCUUCCUGAUGAACCUUAAUGCCAUUAAUUUGGUGUUUUGGGGAAUUUGGACUGUUACUUUGAAAAAAUUAGAGUGUUUAAAGCAAGCUAACGCUUGAAUACAUUAGCAUGGAAUAAUGAAAUAGGACGUUCGAUCCUAUUUUGUUGGUUUCUAGGAUUGACGUAAUGAUUAAUAGGGAUAGUUGGGGGCAUUAGUAUUCAAUUGUCAGAGGUGAAAUUCUUGGAUUUAUUGAAGACUAACUACUGCGAAAGCAUUUGCCAAGGAUGUUUUCAUUAAUCAAGAACGAAAGUUAGGGGAUCGAAGACGAUCAGAUACCGUCGUAGUCUUAACCAUAAACUAUGCCGACUAGGGAUCGGAUGAUGUUAAUUUUUUAAUGACUCAUUCGGCGCCUUACG
RNAcentral lists this ribosomal RNA (407 nucleotides) under uncultured Glomeromycotina. Its description in RNAcentral is "SSU rRNA". It matches the Rfam family "Eukaryotic small subunit ribosomal RNA", at positions 687 to 1092 of the family's 1831-position model. The record is from RNAcentral. Lineage: Eukaryota; Fungi; Glomeromycota.